Non-coding RNA from Chiloscyllium plagiosum (whitespotted bambooshark), 72 nucleotides. NCBI's taxonomy places the organism in Eukaryota, Metazoa, Chordata, Chondrichthyes, Orectolobiformes, Hemiscylliidae. The record is from the annotation of a RefSeq genome assembly.
UACCUGGUGGUCUAGUGGUUAGGAUUCGGUGCUUUCACCGUCGUGGCCUGGGUUUGAUUCCCAGCCAGGGAA